Molecule: non-coding RNA, 24 nt
Filed under: Arabidopsis thaliana (thale cress)
Lineage: Eukaryota; Viridiplantae; Streptophyta; Magnoliopsida; Brassicales; Brassicaceae
Source: RNAcentral
AGCCCAAAAGAUUGAACAAAUGAA